RNAcentral lists this ribosomal RNA (208 nucleotides) under uncultured bacterium. Its description in RNAcentral is "partial 16S ribosomal RNA". It matches the Rfam family "Bacterial small subunit ribosomal RNA", at positions 1284 to 1500 of the family's 1533-position model. The record is from RNAcentral.
UGUCUCAGUUCGGAUUGGAGGCUGAAACCCGCCUCCAUGAAGUUGGAUUCGCUGUAAUCGCGCAUCAGCCAUGGCGCGGUGAAUACGUUCCCGGGCCUUGUACACACCGCCCGUCAAGCCAUGGAAGCUGGGGGUGCCUGAAGUUCGUGACCGGAAGGAGCGACCUAGGGCAAAACCGGUGACUGGGGCUAAGUCGUAACAAGGUACC